This 3299-nucleotide long non-coding RNA is filed under the name Sorghum bicolor (sorghum). RNAcentral describes it as "long non-coding RNA (SBIC_LNC003359)". The record is from RNAcentral. Lineage: Eukaryota; Viridiplantae; Streptophyta; Magnoliopsida; Poales; Poaceae.
AUUUUUCUUGCUAAUAUCAUUAUGCAUAGAUAUAACCUUUUCUUACGAUGAUGCUAGGUGUUAUUGCACUAAUCAAUAUAUGUUUUGACAGUAUAGUUAGAAUACUUAGGAUUUAUUCUUGUAGACCGUCCUAGUCCAUGCUAGUGUUAUAGACAUAGAGUAAUAUAUUGAGAUGAUUAUCAUAUUCAUAUAUGGCUAUGUGCUCUUCUAUCUCUUAUUAUUCAUAUAUAUAUUAUUUAUCUUAUGUGACACUUACCCUACAUGAGAGAUAGAUAAAGACAUGGUUAAGAUCUCCAUGACCACAUGCAGUGCUUGUUGGGUAUUGUAAACGCAAACAGAAAAAAUCCGCAAACGCACGGAUACCGAUGUAGCUUUCACCCGGGAGUAUUCCAGAGUAUCGAUUUUCCACAGGGAACGUGAGUGUACUAAUUAAGAUCCAAGAUCGCCCAAAGAUAACUAUAUAAUUAUUUUUGGUGGGAAGAGAGGAAGUUUUCUGAGAGUUCUCUAGUUGAUCUAAGAAUCAAGAAUUACUUCAAGAUUAUCUAUAUCGGGACAUCAGAGCACUAACCACAGAUAGAGAUGAGAAGGGGGCUAGGAAGGUCUGACUUCGGUCCUACAAACACCGAUCCGAACGAGGUGGAAUACGUCGACCGUUAGGGCUGUCACUACCCUAGGGCUACCACAACAAUCCGCAGGAUUGGGUGCAAUUCCAGGUAAUUGCAAGACUAAACACCACGUCUAAUCUAUUAAUUACUACUCUAAUGUUGCAAAGAUUAGAGCACUUGAUGCAAGCGGGAAUCCAAUCAAUAACUUGAAUGUAAAUAAAAGUAAUUAAAGAACUCAGGAAUUAUGAAUUGAAGCACCUAGAGAACGAUGAAGAACGAACCAGUUGCUGCAAAAGUACAAUGUUGAGGAAGAUCCGACAGAUCCGGCUCCUCCUCCGCUCUCCUCUUCUCUCUCCCUAUUUUUUAGAUUACAACUAGAACUAACUAGAACUUGAACUAGAGGAACUAGAACUAGAACUAGAUGAACUAGAACUAGAUCUAGAUGAACUAGAGGUAGAACUAGAAGAACUAGAGGGAUCCUCUCUACUUGGAUGAAGAAUUGAAACCCUAACUUUGAUUCUAUAGAAGAGGUAUGAUCUCCAGGGGCCAGGGGGCCUUGCUUAUAUAGUCUUUUCAGAUGAAUCCGGGCCGUUGGAUCAAAUCGACAUUGAUUGAACGGUUAUCCUUGAUCCUUUAGGUCGGUGGAGCACGAUCCGCGAGUUUGGACGUGAUUGGGCAGAACUCUAGGGCGGGCGCCCUCAGGACUUGGGCGGGCGCCCUGUCCCUGAGUCCUCUUGGCUGCUUCAUUCCCGUGGCUUCUGGAGUCUUCUAGAUGGUAGAAAAUUGCACAGCACGUUAAUACCUCUAUGUAAACCCGACGUGUGGGCCUUUCUUCCUUAUUUCCUAAUAACCCCCUGCAGAAAUAGACAAACACCAAAACUCGUGGAAUUCUGUCAGAUAAAACCCUAAGUCUGGGUGUUGGUUGCAUAUAAGUCCUUUUCCAUGAUUAGUUGAUGGUUAAAUGUGAGCAUUAAGGACCGUCAACAAGCACCCCCAAGCAAAAUGCAAGGUAGAGUUUUAAAAGUUUUAGCAUACUUACCUUGCAUUUUGCUAUGUCAAUGCUUGGAGCAAGGGAGAGGAAUCUCAUACUCCUAGAUCAAGACCUUUGACCUUUUUGAAAAGUUUGUCAUCUCUUACUGGCAUAUUGCUUAUUAGAGGGACCAUGGGCUAUCAUUUUUUUCUUUUUUUUAUUUCUUUUUUCAAUCUCUCUCUUAUUUUUUCUUCUUUAUUUUUAAGUGGGCACUAAGUACCCCUAAUUCUACUAUCGGACACGUGUCUAUUUUUUUCCACUCAGGUGGGUAUCUUUAUACCCCUAAUUCUACUUCGAACACUUGUCCAUUUUUACCUCUCGUCUCACUUCUCUUUUUUUUCAAAUCAAAUUUUUGCAUAGUCCCAUGCCUCUAACGCAAUAAUACUUCGGAAGAGUGAAUCUUUUAUAUUUUUAAAACAAAAAGAUCUUGAUCUUGGGAGCAUGAUAAUUCUCUCAACCAAAACUACAAGAAUUAACAAUGGCUUGAACAAAGCAAGUGCCCACAGUUUUAAUAUUCAUAUCUUAUAAGCCUCUAGGUAGUAUGUCAAACAAGAUCUCAAUUUUUUUAGAUUUUCAAAAGAUAAAAUCUCCAGAACUCUAGCAAAACUUGGAACAAGUUAAAUAGUAGCUCAGACCUUCUCAUAUCAUGUUUAUCAAUUACCUAGACUUGGAUCAAACUUUCUUUUUAUUUUAUUUAAAACUCAAGAUUACACAAAACUAUUGUAUAUUACUCAAAAGAAAAACUUUAUUUGGUUUCAUGAUUAUGCAUUAUUUUUUUAUUUAUUACUGAAUACUAGUAAAUAAAACCAAGAAAGAAGAAGUAAUACCUAUCUAGAUACACGUGGGGGUGCCUUCCCCAAGCUGGAUGUUGACAUAGUCGUUCACUCUUGUGGCCUGCAUGUUCGGUCUCACUCUUCUUAAGCCUCAAAAUCCUGCACAACCCAAAUAGACAACAAAACUUGUGGAGCAUGUUAAGGGUUAGGUAAUUGUCUAGAGCUUAUGAGAGCUUAAUACGAGAAUUCUAUGAACUCAAUCACAUCAAGUUCCUCUACCAGGUUAUUUUGUGGCUCGAGAUAGAUUUUCAAGCGUUGACCAUUUACCUUAAAAGUGUUACCUAUGUCAUCUUGGAUGGUAAUGGCUCCAUGAGUUGAAGUGUCAAUAACCUUGUAUGGUCCAUUCCACUUAUGUAACACCCGAUUUUAAGGACAAAAUCAGAUAUGCACCAUAUGUGAGUUUUAGAAGACAAGACUCACAUAUAGCUACAAAUAAAGGGUAAUAUCAAAGGACAAUGCAUAAAUUAUAUAGCGUGGAUAAUAAAUUAGAAACAACCUUGGGCAGCAAACACGGAAGAGAACUCCAAACUUCGGGUGUUAACCUCACUCUACAGGAUCCAACUGACUGGUUGAUCACAAGCCCAAAACUUCUCCUGAGGUGUGGGGGAGAUAGCAAGAGUGAGUUCAAGACGAACUCCGCAAGUAUAACAACUAGAUUGUAUAGAUCCCACAAUCUCAUGAUCAAUGUGACAUAAAUUAUAUAGAGCAUUAAACAAUAAUCAAUGAGUUUCUUAACACAAGAUUCAUCACCCUUAAUGUAAGAGUUCCCAAGGCCGCUCGUGACCGUGAGCACGGCUAGUAUACCAGUUUUUAACACUCUGCAGAGGUUGU